UGAUACGGAGGGUGCGAGCGUUAAUCGGAAUUACUGGGCGUAAAGCGCGCGUAGGUGGCUUGAUAAGCCGGUUGUGAAAGCCCCGGGCUCAACCUGGGAAUGGCAUCCGGAACUGUCAGGCUAGAAUGCAGGAGAGGAAGGUAGAAUUCCCGGUGUAGCGGUGAAAUGCGUAGAGAUCGGGAGGAAUACCAGUGGCGAAGGCGGCCUUCUGGACUGACACUGACACUGAGGUGCGAAAGCGUGGGUAGCAAACAGGAUUAGAUACCCUGGUAGUCCACGCCGUAAACGAUGUCGACUAGCCGUUGGGCUCCUUGAGAGCUUUGUGGCGCAGUUAACGCGAUAAGUCGACCGCCUGGGGAGUACGGCCGCAAGGUUAAAACUCAAAUGAAUUGACGGGGGCCCGCACAAGCGGUGGAGCAUGUGGUUUAAUUCGAUGCAACGCGAAGAACCUUACCUACCCUUGACAUCGAGAGAACUUUCCAGAGAUGGAUUGGUGCCUUCGGGAACUCUCAGACAGGUGCUGCAUGGCUGUCGUCAGCUCGUGUUGUGAAAUGUUGGGUUAAGACCCGUAACGAGCGCAACCCUUGUCCCUAUUUGCCAGCGAUUCGGUCGGGAACUCUAGGGAGACUGCCGGUGACAAACCGGAGGAAGGUGGGGACGACGUCAAGUCAUCAUGGCCCUUACGGGUAGGGCUACACACGUGCUACAAUGGCAGGUACAAAGGGUUGCGAAUCCGCGAGGUGGAGCCAAUCCCGAAAAGCCGGUCUCAGUCCGGAUCGGAGUCUGCAACUCGACUCCGUGAAGGCGGAAUCGCUAGUAAUCGUGAAUCAGAAUGUCACGGUGAAUACGUUCCCGGGCCUUGUACACACCGCCCGUCACACCAUGGGAGUGGACUGCACCAGAAGUGGUUAGCUUAACCUUC
Molecule: ribosomal RNA, 922 nt
Filed under: uncultured Halomonas sp.
Lineage: Bacteria; Pseudomonadati; Pseudomonadota; Gammaproteobacteria; Oceanospirillales; Halomonadaceae
Description: bacterial SSU rRNA
Rfam family: Bacterial small subunit ribosomal RNA
Source: RNAcentral